CGAAUACAACCAUUGCUUUCG
Molecule: non-coding RNA, 21 nt
Filed under: Arabidopsis thaliana (thale cress)
Lineage: Eukaryota; Viridiplantae; Streptophyta; Magnoliopsida; Brassicales; Brassicaceae
Source: RNAcentral